This 470-nucleotide ribosomal RNA is filed under the name uncultured Methanosaeta sp. RNAcentral's name for it is "bacterial SSU rRNA". It matches the Rfam family "Archaeal small subunit ribosomal RNA", at positions 867 to 1338 of the family's 1478-position model. Lineage: Archaea; Methanobacteriati; Methanobacteriota; Methanomicrobia; Methanotrichales; Methanotrichaceae. The record is from RNAcentral.
GACGGGGGAGCACCACAACGGGUGAGCUUGCGGUUUAAUUGGAUCAACGACCGGAAUCUUACCGGGACCGACAGCAAUAUGAAGGCCAGGCUGAAGACUUUGCCGGAUUAGCUGAGAGGUGGUGCAUGGCCGUCGUCAGUUCGUACUGUGAAGCAUCCUGUUAAGUCAGGCAACGAGCGAGACCCACGCCCACAGUUGCCAGCGUACUCUCUGGAGUGACGGGUACACUGUGGGGACCGCCGCUGCUAAAGCGGAGGAAGGAAUGGGCAACGGUAGGUCAGUAUGCCCCGAAUAUCCCGGGCUACACGCGAGCUACAAUGGUUGGUACAAUGGGUAUCUACCCCGAAAGGGGACGGGAAUCUCCUAAAACCAAUCUUAGUUCGGAUUGAGGGCUGCAACUCGCCCUCAUGAAGCUGGAAUCCGUAGUAAUCGCGUUUCAACAGAACGCGGUGAAUACGUCCCUGCUCCUU